AACGAACGCUGGCGGCGCGCCUAAUACAUGCAAGUCGAGCGAGAAGACGUAGCAAUACGUUUGUAAAGCGGCGAACGGGUGAGGAAUACAUGGGUAACCUACCCUCGAGUGGGGAAUAACUAGCCGAAAGGUUAGCUAAUACCGCGUACGCUCCUUGGACUUCGGGUUCAGGGAGGAAAGCGAUACCGUGGGUAUCGCGCUCUUGGAUGGGGCUCAUGUCCUAUCAGCUUGUUGGUGAGGAACGGCUCACCAAGGCUUCGACGGGUAGCUGGUCUGAGAGGACGAUCAGCCACACUGGCACUGCGAC
RNAcentral lists this ribosomal RNA (307 nucleotides) under uncultured bacterium. RNAcentral describes it as "bacterial SSU rRNA". It matches the Rfam family "Bacterial small subunit ribosomal RNA", at positions 29 to 325 of the family's 1533-position model. The record is from RNAcentral.